GGAGAGAUGGCUGAGUGGUCGAAAGCGCCUUCCCGCUAAGAAGGUGGCCCGCCAACGAAAGUCCGAGGGCUCGAAUCCCUCUCUCCGCCA
RNAcentral lists this transfer RNA (90 nucleotides) under Puniceicoccales bacterium. RNAcentral's name for it is "tRNA-Ser". It matches the Rfam family "tRNA". From Rfam's summary of the family: Transfer RNA (tRNA) molecules are approximately 80 nucleotides in length. Their secondary structure includes four short double-helical elements and three loops (D, anti-codon, and T loops). Further hydrogen bonds mediate the characteristic L-shaped molecular structure. tRNAs have two regions of fundamental functional importance: the anti-codon, which is responsible for specific mRNA codon recognition, and the 3' end, to which the tRNAs corresponding amino acid is attached (by aminoacyl-tRNA synthetases). tRNAs cope with the degeneracy of the genetic code in two manners: having more than one tRNA (with a specific anti-codon) for a particular amino acid; and 'wobble' base-pairing, i.e. permitting non-standard base-pairing at the 3rd anti-codon position. The record is from RNAcentral. Lineage: Bacteria; Pseudomonadati; Verrucomicrobiota; Opitutia; Puniceicoccales.